GAUGAGCCGUAGUCUUAACAAAAAUUAAGAAAUUGCAAUUUGAUUUCUGUGGAAAAAUCAUUAACAUUUGCCGAUUUUUAACCAAAACAUAAACAUAUCCCAUAUUCAAAAUCAAUGUAAUUUAUUUAUUUAUUUAUUUUUUGCAACAAAAGCUGAUAUUCAUUAAUAUUACUAGGCUCGAAGUGGAUGAACAAAAUCUAAACAACAGAGAAAUGAAAAGACAGAAAAGUAGAAAAAGAAACCUAAACAGCACACAAAGCACACAGGAAAACAACAAAACCACUAACGCACGAAAACUACCCCUCACCAAAUACAAAAAGUCUUCAGAAAGUUAUCAGCCAAAAAUUCAACUUCCCCAGAACAGAUCCUCAGUUAAGCCGAAAAAGGAAAAGAAAAAAAACUUUGAAACCCAGCCAUAGAUAUUCGACAGAACCUUCUCCAUCUUCAAAGCGUACAAAACCAUCUCAAUAAUUUUGAAUCCAAGCCGUCCAAUCCUCAGCCACCACCUUCCCCACCGAAUCUGGAGCUUCAUUAACCUAGAAACAAGAGAGUUGUCGUCGGCAUCCUUCUAAUGCCAAAGUAUGAGUGGCCCUAUUGACUGCUCUUGGGACAAAACAAGAGUCCCCUUCCAGCAAUAACCUCUUAAAACCUAUUUCAGACGUAAAAAGCAUAACCCUUUUACACACCCUAGCUUCAGCAACAAAAACAUCGACCACAUCCCCAGAAGGUAAUCCCACUCGGAGCAAUCAUGAUGUUAAGAGAGGCCCAUAGCUGCUGUAGAAUACCACAAGACCACAUCAAAUGGUCAGAAUCCUCAGGAGCUUCCUUACAAAAUGGGCAUACUACAUCAACAUUUAAUCUUCUUUGAAAAAGGUUGGUAGAAUAAGGCAUAGCUGGAAUAUGCAUAGCACAUGGUAAAUUGUAGAAAUCUCUGUAAUUAUUAGCUGUAAGAAAGAUGUAGUCGUUGCUCUGUAAUUGGUCUGUAAUUAAAGCUCGAUACCCACUCUUCACAGAGUACUCCCCAGUAGCCUCGUGUUUCCAAACCAACGUAUUGUGCAAUCUGAGACAAGCAAGCGGAAUGGUAAGAAUGCGGUUCACUUGGUCUUCAUCAAGCAAUCUGCUGAUCACCUCCUUAUUCCAAGUAUUUGUCUCAACAUCAAUUAAUUGGUUCACUGUGAUUUAGGAAGGAUUUAUGCUUUGAACUGAUAA
Long non-coding RNA from Gossypium arboreum, 1209 nucleotides. RefSeq lists it as uncharacterized. The record is from RefSeq and is a predicted model, not a curated record. The transcript has 3 exons. NCBI's taxonomy places the organism in Eukaryota, Viridiplantae, Streptophyta, Magnoliopsida, Malvales, Malvaceae.